RNAcentral lists this small RNA (880 nucleotides) under Pan troglodytes (chimpanzee). RNAcentral describes it as "processed transcript". Lineage: Eukaryota; Metazoa; Chordata; Mammalia; Primates; Hominidae. The record is from RNAcentral.
GGCGCCGACUUCGACUCUUGGGGCCAGCUGGUGGAGGCGAUAGACGAGUAUCAGAUGCUGUGAGUCCCACCCACCCCCUCGCUCGGUUGCCUUGGGUGGAGUCCGCGCAGGAUGUGAACCGAAGAGAGCAAAAUGUGAAUUAAUGGACCACGCACAGGAGCUCCACGCCCUCCUUGGAUCCCUCCUCCUUUUCCUGUAUGUAAUGUAUAGCCGCAGGGUACAAAUUAGCAAGACAUCUACAAAAGGAGGCCCAAGCUCAACACAAUAAUUCUGAAUUCACAGAAGAACAAAAGAAAACCAUAGGCAAAAUUGCAACAUGCUUGGAAUUGCGAAGUGCAGCUUUACAGUCCACACAGUCUCAAGAAGAAUUUAAACUGGAGGACCUGAAGAAGCUAGAACCAAUCCUAAAGAAUAUUCUUACAUAUAAUAAAGAAUUCCCAUUUGAUGUUCAGCCUGUCCCAUUAAGAAGAAUUUUGGCACCUGGUGAAGAAGAGAAUUUGGAAUUUGAAGAAGAUGAAGAAGAGGGUGGUGCUGGAGCAGGGUCUCCUGAUUCUUUUCCUGCUAGAGUUCCCGGUACUUUAUUACCAAGGUUGCCAUCGGAACCAGGAAUGACAUUACUCACUAUCAGAAUUGAGAAAAUUGGUUUGAAAGAUGCUGGGCAGUGCAUCGAUCCCUAUAUUACAGUUAGUGUAAAGGAUCUGAAUGGCAUAGACUUAACUCCUGUGCAAGAUACUCCUGUGGCUUCAAGAAAAGAAGAUACAUAUGUUCAUUUUAAUGUGGACAUUGAGCUCCAGAAGCAUGUUGAAAAAUUAACUAAAGGUGCAGCUAUCUUCUUUGAAUUCAAGCACUACAAGCCUAAAAAAAGGUUUACCAGCACCAA